UGACCUCGGAUCAGGUAGGAAUACCCGCUGAACUUA
RNAcentral lists this ribosomal RNA (36 nucleotides) under Fusarium equiseti. RNAcentral's name for it is "partial 28S ribosomal RNA". RNAcentral also lists the same sequence under 56 other names. Lineage: Eukaryota; Fungi; Ascomycota; Sordariomycetes; Hypocreales; Nectriaceae. The record is from RNAcentral.